This 253-nucleotide ribosomal RNA is filed under the name uncultured bacterium. Its description in RNAcentral is "partial 16S ribosomal RNA". It matches the Rfam family "Bacterial small subunit ribosomal RNA", at positions 524 to 776 of the family's 1533-position model. The record is from RNAcentral.
UACGUAGGGGGCAAGCGUUGUCCGGAUUUAUUGGGCGUAAAGAGCGUGUAGGCGGCUAGGUAGGUCCGUUGUGAAAACUCGAGGCUCAACCUCGAGACGCCGGUGGAAACCAUCUAGCUAGAGUCCGGAAGAGGAGAGUGGAAUUCCUGGUGUAGCGGUGAAAUGCGCAGAUAUCAGGAAGAACCCCCGUGGCGAAGGCGGCUCUCUGGGACGUGACUGACGCUGAGACACGAAAGCGUGGGGAGCAAACAGG